Sinocyclocheilus anshuiensis is the source of this 228-nucleotide long non-coding RNA. RefSeq lists it as uncharacterized. The transcript has 3 exons. The record is from RefSeq and is a predicted model, not a curated record. Lineage: Eukaryota; Metazoa; Chordata; Actinopteri; Cypriniformes; Cyprinidae.
CCUGCUCUCAUGUCGGCGACACGGAAUUAAUCGUGUAAACACAAUGGAAAAUACAGAGGAGGUUGCCAACAAUCGUCCUCGCAGAAGACAGAGCAAAGACCCACCUCCUGAGUUGAGUAAUCUGAGGAUUGUUCUACUGGGGAAGAGUGUUUCUGAAAACAGUCAAGUGGGAAACAUCAUAUUAGGACGAGCAGCGUUUGACAGUGAAGCUCCUCCAGAUGUUGUAGA